This is a long non-coding RNA of Saccostrea echinata, 414 nucleotides long. RefSeq lists it as uncharacterized. The transcript is spliced from 3 exons. The record is from RefSeq and is a predicted model, not a curated record. NCBI's taxonomy places the organism in Eukaryota, Metazoa, Mollusca, Bivalvia, Ostreida, Ostreidae.
UGGAUUAUUCAGCCAGUUUCUGCUUGUGUUAUAGUUCAGUGACAUCUUUCUGAGUUAAAUGUGCUUUGUUUGUCUGGAUAAUCCUAUGUGUGCCUGUACUCGAACCGUCAACGGUGGACAUCGCAGUCAGGUAUACAUAGAAAUGGUUCCUGACUUUGUCUGCCCAUAUAACAAUAAACAAGAUUCUACAUUUUAAAAAUAGGACUAAGGACAAUCCUGCAUAUUUGCAGUUUUACACAUUGCAGUUCAUCUCAUCUGCUGCUGGAAUAAAUAAUGAAAGCUGUUUAUACUACUUUCCAAGAGCCCCCUAGAGUCUGAAAUCCUGGUGUUUUUAUUAAGGAUAUCAGUGUGUGAAGUAUUUGUUUUUGUGCCUUGAAAUUUGUGAAACUGUUCAGUUACUUGAUGACUAGCUUU